AGAAAAUAAAAAGAUAAAUUAAUGUCUUCAUUUCACAUGAAAAUGAAGAUGACCAUCACACGAACUGAAAUUCUUCUCAAGUUCUCGAUUUCAACUUUUUCAAAAUCUCAUGAUCCGAGCAGAUCUAAUUGAACGCUGCACCACGAAUCUCAAUCGCACAUCCACCUUAGAUAUGCCUCAUAACGUAAUCUGUAGCGAGCAUCUCCACCACAGCUCCACCUCUACACCGAUCAGGUUCCCCGCAGCUCCACCACAACUCCACCGCACAGAUCGAACCGUGGACAGUAACAGUUUCGUAAGCUCUUACAAUAGAGGCAUUUGCUACAGAUUUUGUACAAGUCUCUUUAGCAUCUAGAGCAACAUAUUGAGUGUUUAAAUGAAAAGGAUUUAAUUGCUACUUCUAUUCUGAAGUAGCAACAUAUUGUGUAGUUGUCUCAUUCAGUGAACUUAAUCGUUGAUUGUUAAAUGUUAAUGAUGAAAGAUGUAAACGGUGUGACAGGAAACUGAUUAGUGUUCUACAAGCAGGAUUAUCCAGAGAUGGACGUUUAUAUGCGUUAAUGUUUAUUGUACAAUGUACAGGUUAAAGUUUUGCAGCUAUACUAGUCGCGAAGACUGCCUUAUAAGGCUAUUUGGAACUACAUCAGACUUGAGCUUUAUGGAAAGCUGAAGCAGACCUCUACUACAGCCAGUUGGUGUCUAAUGUAGAAUCAGAAAAUUCAUGUCGAACCAUUAAGUGCCUGAUCAGUGAAGCCUUCAAGAUAUGGCAAAGAAGAAAAUGCUUAAACUGAAACAUGGAAUAGCUAGAUGCCUAAAGGAAGAGAAACUCAGUUUAUUUAAUCACUAGCAUAUAGAUUAUUGUUAGAUUGCAAGUAACAACGAAGUUGGCAUAUUUUGUGGUAUCAAGUUAUAGGAUGGUAACCAAAAGACCUUGUAAUUUUUAAUAUUUUGUUUGAUUGUAUAAAAAUCGUUUGUGAUA
This is a long non-coding RNA of Erigeron canadensis, 976 nucleotides long. RefSeq lists it as uncharacterized. Lineage: Eukaryota; Viridiplantae; Streptophyta; Magnoliopsida; Asterales; Asteraceae. The transcript has 6 exons. The record is from RefSeq and is a predicted model, not a curated record.